AACGUACGCUGGCGGCACGCCUAACACAUGCAAGUCGAACGAAGUAGCAAUACUUAGUGGCAGACGGGUGAGUAACAUGUAGGUAUCUGCCCUUUGGCCUGGAAUAACACGAGGAAACUUGUGCUAAUACCGGAUAAGUCUUUACGGAGAAAGCUUUAUGCACCACUGGAUGAGCCUGCACUUGAUUAGUUUGUUGGUGGGGUAAUGGCCUACCAAGACUGUGAUCAAUAGCUGAUUUGAGAGGAUGAUCAGCCACAUUGGGACUGAGACACGGCCCAAACUCCUACGGGAGGCAGCAGUGGGGAAUCUUGCACAAUGGAGGAAACUCUGAUGCAGCGAUGCCGCGUGAGUGAAGAAGGCCCUUGGGUUGUAAAGCUCUUUCGUCGGGGAAGAAAAUGACUGUACCCGAAUAAGAAGGUCCGGCUAACUUCGUGCCAGCAGCCGCGGUAAUACGAAGGGACCUAGCGUAGUUCGGAAUUACUGGGCUUAAAGAGUUCGUAGGUGGUUGAAAAAGUUAGUGGUGAAAUCCCAGAGCUUAACUCUGGAACUGCCAUUAAAACUUUUCAGCUAGAGUAUGAUAGAGGAAAGCAGAAUUUCUAGUGUAGAGGUGAAAUUCGUAGAUAUUAGAAAGAAUACCAAUUGCGAAGGCAGCUUUCUGGAUCAUUACUGACACUGAGGAACGAAAGCAUGGGUAGCGAAGAGGAUUAGAUACCCUCGUAGUCCUUGCCGUAAACGAUGUGUGUUAGACGUUGGAAAUUUAUUUUCAGUGUCGCAGGGAAACCGAUAAACACACCGCCUGGGGGAGUACGACCGCAAGGUUAAAACUCAAAUGAAUUGACGGGGACCCGCACAAGUAGUGGAACCAUGUGGUUUAAUUCGAAGAUACGCGCAGAACCUUACCAACACUUGACAUGUUCGUCGCGACUCUAAGAGAUUAGAGUUUUCGGUUUGGCCGGACGAAACACAGGUGCUGCAUGGCUGUCGUCAGCU
This 990-nucleotide ribosomal RNA is filed under the name uncultured bacterium. Its description in RNAcentral is "bacterial SSU rRNA". It matches the Rfam family "Bacterial small subunit ribosomal RNA", at positions 28 to 1060 of the family's 1533-position model. The record is from RNAcentral.